Molecule: ribosomal RNA, 496 nt
Filed under: uncultured bacterium
Lineage: Bacteria
Description: partial 16S ribosomal RNA
Rfam family: Bacterial small subunit ribosomal RNA
Source: RNAcentral
GAUGAACGCUGGCGGCGUGCCUAAUACAUGCAAGUCGAGCGAACAGACGAGGAGCUUGCUCCUCUGACGUUAGCGGCGGACGGGUGAGUAACACGUGGAUAACCUACCUAUAAGACUGGGAUAACUUCGGGAAACCGGAGCUAAUACCGGAUAAUAUAUUGAACCGCAUGGUUCAAUAGUGAAAGACGGUUUUGCUGUCACUUAUAGAUGGAUCCGCGCCGCAUUAGCUAGUUGGUAAGGUAACGGCUUACCAAGGCAACGAUGCGUAGCCGACCUGAGAGGGGGAUCGGCCACACUGGAACGGAGACACGGUCCAGACUCCUACGGGAGGCAGCAGUAGGGAAUCUUCCGCAAGGGGCGAAAGCCUGACGGAGCAACGCGGCGGGAGUGAGGAAGUUCUUCGGAUCGUAAAACUCUUUUAUUAGGAAAGAACAAAUGGGUAAGUAACUAUGCACGUCUGGACGGUACCUAAUCAGAAAGCCACGGCUAACUACGU